AGCCCGCUAGCUCAAUCGGCAGAGCGUGAGGCUUUUAACCUCAAGGUUUCGGGUUCGAGCCCCGGGCGGGCCU
Molecule: non-coding RNA, 73 nt
Organism: Thoreauomyces humboldtii
Lineage: Eukaryota; Fungi; Chytridiomycota; Chytridiomycetes; Spizellomycetales; Powellomycetaceae
Source: the annotation of a GenBank genome assembly